Small nuclear RNA from Cervus hanglu yarkandensis (Yarkand deer), 104 nucleotides. The record is from Ensembl. Lineage: Eukaryota; Metazoa; Chordata; Mammalia; Artiodactyla; Cervidae.
GUCGUGCUUGCUUUACAUAUACUAAAAUUGGAAUGAUACAGAGACAAUUAGCAUGGUCCCUGAACAAGGAUGACAUACAAAUUCAUUAAGUGUUCCAUAUUUUA